GGACGGUCUGUCGCUGACUUACGCUGGUAUGCAUGCAUACAUCGGUAACGUGGGAGGAAAGUCCGGGCAGCACAGAGCAUUCCACUUCCUAAUAUAGAAGCAGUCCGCGAGGGUUGAGUAAUGCAGAAGAAAACAACCGCCUUCUUAAAGUGGAGAGUGAAGAGUGGAGAGUGAAGAGAAAGUACGAUCGCUAAACGCUAAACGCUAACCGCUAAACGCUUCACGAAUUAAGAGGGUAAGGGUGAGAAGGUGGGGUAAGAGCCUACCAGCGGUGUGGCGACAUACCGGCUGUGCAUCUUGGAAGCUGCAAGUUCAUGUAUAGUAGCGCUUGAGGGUUGCUCGCCCGAGCUACAGGGUAGAACGCUAAAGUUGUGUGGUGACACUCAACUGGGAUAAAUGACAGACCAUCACGCGUGCGUGAUGACAGAACCCGGCUUAUAGGCUGGCUGC
Molecule: RNase P RNA, 450 nt
Filed under: bovine gut metagenome
Description: Bacterial RNase P class A
Rfam family: Bacterial RNase P class A
About the family: Ribonuclease P (RNase P) is a ubiquitous endoribonuclease, found in archaea, bacteria and eukarya as well as chloroplasts and mitochondria.
Source: RNAcentral